Molecule: ribosomal RNA, 413 nt
Filed under: uncultured Prevotella sp.
Lineage: Bacteria; Pseudomonadati; Bacteroidota; Bacteroidia; Bacteroidales; Prevotellaceae
Description: bacterial SSU rRNA
Rfam family: Bacterial small subunit ribosomal RNA
Source: RNAcentral
UGAGGAAUAUUGGUCAAUGGGCGAGAGCCUGAACCAGCCAAGUAGCGUGCAGGAUGACGGCCCUAUGGGUUGUAAACUGCUUUUAUGCGGGGAUAAAGUGAGGGAUGCAUCCCUUUUUGCAGGUACCGCAUGAAUAAGGACCGGCUAAUUCCGUGCCAGCAGCCGCGGUAAUACGGAAGGUCCGGGCGUUAUCCGGAUUUAUUGGGUUUAAAGGGUGCGCAGGCGGACUCGUCAAGUCAGCGGUAAAAAAUUCGGGGCUCAACCCCGUCCUGCCGUUGAAACUGCGAGACUGGAGUGCGACAGAGGAAGGCGGAAUGCGAGGUGUAGCGGUGAAAUGCAUAGAUAUCGCGCAGAACUCCGAUUGCGAAGGCAGCCUUCCAUGUCGUGACUGACGCUGAGGCACGAAAGCGUGG